RNAcentral lists this ribosomal RNA (253 nucleotides) under uncultured bacterium. RNAcentral's name for it is "partial 16S ribosomal RNA". It matches the Rfam family "Bacterial small subunit ribosomal RNA", at positions 524 to 776 of the family's 1533-position model. The record is from RNAcentral.
UACGUAGGGGGCAAGCGUUAUCCGGAAUUACUGGGUGUAAAGGGAGCGUAGACGGUAAUGUAAGUCUGGAGUGAAAGGCGGGGGCCCAACCCCCGGACUGCUCUGGAAACUAUGUUACUAGAGUGCAGGAGAGGUAAGCGGAAUUCCUAGUGUAGCGGUGAAAUGCGUAGAUAUAUGGAGGAACACCGGUGGCGAAAGCGGCUCUCUGGCCUGUAACUGACACUGAGGCUCGAAAGCGUGGGGAGCAAACAGG